GUUCUGAUUAAUUAGCUAAUUUAGUGACACUUUAUCUCACAGGUCCUGGACUUUCUCAGUAAUUUCCUGGAGAGGACUUUGUAAUUUGGAACUAAUUAAAGAGAAAACAGAGAUAGAGACAGCACACAAAUGGGCUGCACCUGGAUGUUGACCACGUUGUUGCUGGGCGACAUGUCGCUUUCCUGACGCUCCGACAUCUGCUUCUGGGAGACGAUACGGUAGAUCUCUGACGGGACAGGGAGAAAGGUUAAAUAAAGAAGGUUUAACAGCACAAACAGAAGUGAGGAUUCUCACCAGCAAAAGCCCGGGCCUCGUCAGUGGGAACAGCUCGCAGGUGACGCAGGUCGCUCUUGUUGCCCACCAGCAUGAUGACGAUAUUGCUGUCGGCGUGGUCUCUCAGCUCCUUCAGCCAGCGCUCCACGUUCUCGAAAACGGGCCUGCAGGGACUACACAAAGAGCCAGGAGGGAUUCAUAAUCUGUGCUUUGCAAAGAUCAUAAGCCCUGCUGAUUAGCACUCACGCUGAUGUGAUGGCACGGUAGCGCUCCUGGCCAGCUGUGUCCCAGAUCUGGGCCUUCACUGUCUUGCCGUCCACUUGGAUGCUGCGUGUGGCGAACUCGACUCCGAUGGUGCUCUUACUCUCCAGGUUGAACUCAUUCCGGGUGAAUCGGGACAGCAGGUUACUCUUUCCCACACCUGAGUCACCGAUAAGGACCACUGGAUCGCAGAGUGGAGAGAACACAUUUUAAUACAAUCUCUAAGAAUAAAA
Long non-coding RNA from Scatophagus argus, 767 nucleotides. RefSeq lists it as uncharacterized. NCBI's taxonomy places the organism in Eukaryota, Metazoa, Chordata, Actinopteri, Scatophagidae. The transcript is spliced from 4 exons. The record is from RefSeq and is a predicted model, not a curated record.